Molecule: non-coding RNA, 659 nt
Organism: Coffea arabica (coffee)
Lineage: Eukaryota; Viridiplantae; Streptophyta; Magnoliopsida; Gentianales; Rubiaceae
Source: RefSeq, a predicted model, not a curated record
UUUUCGAAUCUUAACUAUUUGACCAAACUUUGAGGAGAAUCUGAAUCUGAACUUACUUCCGGUCGGCUGGUGAAGCUUUUAUUUCCACCAUAUACUAACUGCAGUAGUGUUGCUUCCGAGAGAGAGAGCUUGUAGAUUUCCAUCUUGAGUUACAUUUUUGGGACUUGUUAUGAUAGAAUUUUCAGAAGAGUAGAGAGUCUAAAUCCCUGAGGCCAUCAUUGAAGAUGGCUGGCAAAAGCAUUCAUUUGAUCUCUUUGGCAAAACCAGCCCAACCUCCACUCCUCCCUCUGAUUUCCUGCACUUUUCAAAGGACAUUAGUCGUCCCCAAUGCAAAUGGUCAGAUUGGAUGGUAAGCGGCAAGCGCGGAAUCACGGAUUGCUACCUUUGACUAUCUUCUUCAGUUACCAUUGUUGAAACCUUCUGCACCCCCAGUUUCUUAGCUGAUGGCACAAAGUUCCAUUAACAUUAACCUCCUCUUGUCAAAACUUUAAGAAGUUACGGAAUUCUGCACCAGGCUAUUAUUCAUUUUGGAUCUCUGGGCGAAUGAUCGCCACUAGACUUACAAUUAUUGUUCUCUUAAGGGAGUCGGAUUGGAUGUCCUGGUACGUACAAGUUAAGCAUUCAACUGUUCAUGAAAUUGAUACUGCCCUCUACUAAAA